RNAcentral lists this long non-coding RNA (905 nucleotides) under Chrysemys picta bellii (western painted turtle). RNAcentral's name for it is "lncRNA (ENSCPBG00000012473.1)". The record is from RNAcentral. Lineage: Eukaryota; Metazoa; Chordata; Testudines; Emydidae.
CCAGUACAGACUGGCCUUAUGCCUUUAAACUGCAACAGCUUUGUCCCUUCUCACUCUGGCUUAGUGCUUGGGGAUGGGGUCUGUUUUCCAGGCACUGGCAGGGGAGCUGGGGUCCACGUCAUUGCAAACAGGAGGGGAUGUCUCUGCAGAUGAACUCUCCAGUAAGAUCACCCUUGCUAUGGAAGAACCUUGAGGCCUCUGCCCAAAGACAAACUGGUGGGACUGUGCUCCCCGGAGGUAGAUGGGAUAAGUUGUCAUAGUUUAGGUGUCAGGGUGGGGGGUUGGCUGAGGUCUGCCAGCUUAAUGGGAUGUAUUCAGAGUGGAUCCUGUGUUCCCGCUUGGGACCUUGAAACUGCUGGUCCUGUGAGCCCCCCUGGCUGCAGAGAGACCGGUUAAGGGGCCUGGUAAGUUACUAAAAACAGGAGCUGGUCUGACAACUUGAGCCAUCUAGGUAUUCAUCUCCACCAUUUUAAUCUGCUGCUGUGAUCCUUCACCCAGGACCUGGCAAGGAAAUUCUGCCAUCCCGCUGGCCUGACCCUAUCCCAGAGGCUCCGCCAACCGAUUCCAUCCACGUCCGGGGGUCAGGCAGCCCUGGAAGGCGACUCACUUAGCGACGGAGAUUCAUGCUGCGCAUCUCACGCCACCACAACUGGGCUUCUCCGGGGGCGAAGUAAGGCCAUGGAAAAGAACUGCUCUAGGCUGGGAUUUCCAGAGCAGCUUGUGGGCGUUAGGUACCCAACUGGGAGGGGGGAAGCAUGCGGGGGCCCAGUGUUUCCUGAAAAUGAGGCCCCUUCCAGUUGGGCCCACCAAAAUUAGGACACUCAAAAUUGCUAGUUGCUUUUUAAAAUCUUGCCCUGGGUGACUUGUCCAGGGUCACGCAGAGAGGCUGUGAGUCCAGGAACUGC